Molecule: non-coding RNA, 138 nt
Filed under: Gloeochaete wittrockiana
Lineage: Eukaryota; Glaucocystophyceae; Gloeochaetales; Gloeochaetaceae
Source: RNAcentral
UAAGCACACGUGCUGCCCUCGCACUAGCAGAGGAUACACGGUUCUUGCACCUGAAUCACGGCUAAAUACGAAACUUUGGCAUACAGAUCGUGUAAAGGAUUCAAAACCUUAGUAGAUCGUGUAAAGGAUUCAAAACCU